Paragonimus skrjabini miyazakii is the source of this 74-nucleotide non-coding RNA. NCBI's taxonomy places the organism in Eukaryota, Metazoa, Platyhelminthes, Trematoda, Plagiorchiida, Troglotrematidae. The record is from the annotation of a GenBank genome assembly.
GGCUUCGUAGCUCAGCUGGUAGAGCGCUUGCCGCGUUAGUGUUUCUGUCGCUGGUUCGAAUCCAGCCGAAGCCC